GGGGUUGUGGCUCAGUGGUAAAGUUCUCACUUAGCAUGUGUGAGACACUGGGUUCGAUCCUCAGCACUACA
RNAcentral lists this transfer RNA (71 nucleotides) under Marmota monax (woodchuck). RNAcentral describes it as "tRNA.Ala". Lineage: Eukaryota; Metazoa; Chordata; Mammalia; Rodentia; Sciuridae. The record is from RNAcentral.